RNAcentral lists this ribosomal RNA (301 nucleotides) under uncultured bacterium. RNAcentral's name for it is "partial 16S ribosomal RNA". It matches the Rfam family "Bacterial small subunit ribosomal RNA", at positions 509 to 808 of the family's 1533-position model. The record is from RNAcentral.
CAGCAACCACGGUAAUACCGAGGGUGCGAGCGUUAAUCGGAUUUACUGGGCGUAAAGCGUGCGUAGGCGGCUUCUUAAGUCGGAUGUGAAAUCCCUGAGCUUAACUUAGGAAUUGCAUUCGAUACUGGGAAGCUAGAGUAUGGGAGAGGAUGGUAGAAUUCCAGGUGUAGCGGUGAAAUGCGUAGAGAUCUGGAGGAAUACCGAUGGCGAAGGCAGCCAUCUGGCCUAAUACUGACGCUGAGGUACGAAAGCAUGGGGAGCAAACAGGAUUAGAUACCCCCGUAGUCCCUGUCUCUUAACA